Molecule: ribosomal RNA, 1000 nt
Filed under: uncultured organism
Description: bacterial SSU rRNA
Rfam family: Bacterial small subunit ribosomal RNA
Source: RNAcentral
UGGGGGAUAUUGCGCAAUGGGGGCAACCCUGACGCAGCAACGCCGCGUGAAGGAUGAAGGUUUUCGGAUUGUAAACUUCUUUUAUUAAGGACGAAACUUGACGGUACUUAAUGAAUAAGCUCCGGCUAACUACGUGCCAGCAGCCGCGGUAAUACGUAGGGAGCAAGCGUUGUCCGGAUUUACUGGGUGUAAAGGGUGCGUAGGCGGCUUUGCAAGUCAGAUGUGAAAUCUAUGGGCUCAACCCAUAAACUGCAUUUGAAACUGUAGAGCUUGAGUGAAGUAGAGGCAGGCGGAAUUCCCCGUGUAGCGGUGAAAUGCGUAGAGAUGGGGAGGAACACUAGUGGCGAAGGCGGCCUGCUGGGCUUUAACUGACGCUGAGGCACGAAAGCGUGGGUAGCAAACAGGAUUAGAUACCCUGGUAGUCCACGCUGUAAACGAUGAUUACUAGGUGUGGGGGGUCUGACCCCUUCCGUGCCGGAGUUAACACAAUAAGUAAUCCACCUGGGGAGUACGGCCGCAAGGUUGAAACUCAAAGGAAUUGACGGGGGCCCGCACAAGCAGUGGAGUAUGUGGUUUAAUUCGAAGCAACGCGAAGAACCUUACCAGGUCUUGACAUCCAACUAACGAAGUAGAGAUACAUUAGGUGCCCUUCGGGGAAAGUUGAGACAGGUGGUGCAUGGUUGUCGUCAGCUCGUGUCGUGAGAUGUUGGGUUAAGUCCCGCAACGAGCGCAACCCUUGCUAUUAGUUGCUACGCAAGAGCACUCUAAUAGGACUGCCGUUGACAAAACGGAGGAAGGUGGGGACGACGUCAAAUCAUCAUGCCCCUUAUGACCUGGGCUACACACGUACUACAAUGGAUGUUAACAGAGGGAAGCAAGACAGCGAUGUGGAGCAAACCCCUAAAAACAUUCUCAGUUCAGAUUGCAGGCUGCAACCCGCCUGCAUGAAGAUGGAAUUGCUAGUAAUCGCGGAUCAGCAUGCCGCGGUGAAUACGUUCCC